Molecule: ribosomal RNA, 584 nt
Filed under: uncultured bacterium
Lineage: Bacteria
Description: partial 16S ribosomal RNA
Rfam family: Bacterial small subunit ribosomal RNA
Source: RNAcentral
UGGGGAAUUUUGGACAAUGGGCGAAAGCCUGAUCCAGCAAUGCCGCGUGUGUGAAGAAGGCCUUCGGGUUGUAAAGCACUUUUGUCCGGAAAGAAAUCCUUGGCUCUAAUACAGUCGGGGGAUGACGGUACCGGAAGAAUAAGCACCGGCUAACUACGUGCCAGCAGCCGCGGUAAUACGUAGGGUGCAAGCGUUAAUCGGAAUUACUGGGCGUAAAGCGUGCGCAGGCGGUUUGCUAAGACCGAUGUGAAAUCCCCGGGCUCAACCUGGGAACUGCAUUGGUGACUGGCAGGCUAGAGUAUGGCAGAGGGGGGUAGAAUUCCACGUGUAGCAGUGAAAUGCGUAGAGAUGUGGAGGAAUACCGAUGGCGAAGGCAGCCCCCUGGGCCAAUACUGACGCUCAUGCACGAAAGCGUGGGGAGCAAACAGGAUUAGAUACCCUGGUAGUCCACGCCCUAAACGAUGUCAACUAGUUGUUGGGGAUUCAUUUCCUUAGUAACUAGCUAACGCGUGAAGUUGACCGCCUGGGGAGUACGGUCGCAAGAUUAAAACUUAAAUGAAUUGACGGGGUCAUAGCUGUUUCCU